GACGAACGCUGGCGGCGUGCCUAAUACAUGCAAGUCGAACGCAGGGGGGACGGGUGAGUAACACGUGGGUAACCUCCCAUCAGAGGGGAUAACACUUGGAAACAGGUGCUAAACCGAUACUGAUGGAUGGACCCGGGGUGCAUUAGCUAGUUGGUGGGGUAACGGCUCCCCAAGGCCACGAUGCAUAGCCGACCUGAGAGGGGGAUGGGACAAACGGGGACUGAGAAACGGCCCAGACUCCUACGGGAGGCAGCAGGAGGGAAUCUUCGGCAAUGGACGAAAGCCUGACCGAGCAACGCCGCGUGAGGGAAGAAGGUUUUCGGAUCGUAAAACUCUGUUGUUAGAGAAGCGGUAUCUAACCAGAAAGCCACGGCUAACUACGUGCCAGCCGCCGCGGUAAUUC
This 403-nucleotide ribosomal RNA is filed under the name uncultured bacterium. RNAcentral's name for it is "partial 16S ribosomal RNA". It matches the Rfam family "Bacterial small subunit ribosomal RNA", at positions 28 to 526 of the family's 1533-position model. The record is from RNAcentral.